AACGACUGCUAAUACCGGAUGUGCCGAGAGGUGAAAGAUUUAUUGCCUGGAGAUGAGCUCGCGUCUGAUUAGCUAGUUGGUGGUGUAAGGGACCACCAAGGCGUCGAUCAGUAGCUGGUCUGAGAGGAUGAUCAGCCACACUGGGACUGAGACACGGCCCAGACUCCUACGGGAGGCAGCAGUGGGGAAUUUUCCGCAAUGGGCGAAAGUUUGACGGAGCAAUACCGCGUGAGGGAGGAAGGCUCUUGGGUCGUAAACCUCUUUUCUCAAGGAAGAAUGAAAUGACGGUACUUGAGGAAUAAGCAUCGGCUAACUCCGUGCCAGCAGCCGCGGUAAUACGGAGGAUGCAAGCGUUAUCCGGAAUGAUUGGGCGUAAAGGGUCUGCAGGUGGUACUGAAAGUCUGCUGUUAAAGAGCAAGGCUUAACCAAAUAAAAGCAGUGGAAACUACAGAACUGGAGUGCGGUAGGGGCAAAAGGAAUUCCUGGUGUAGCGGUGAAAUGCGUAGAUAUCAGGAAGAACACCGGUGGCGAAAGCGUUUUGCUAGACCGUAACUGACACUGAGGGACGAAAGCUAGGGGAAA
RNAcentral lists this ribosomal RNA (582 nucleotides) under Sphaerospermopsis reniformis DRL_1. RNAcentral describes it as "bacterial SSU rRNA". It matches the Rfam family "Bacterial small subunit ribosomal RNA", at positions 155 to 769 of the family's 1533-position model. The record is from RNAcentral. Lineage: Bacteria; Bacillati; Cyanobacteriota; Cyanophyceae; Nostocales; Aphanizomenonaceae.